Molecule: non-coding RNA, 76 nt
Filed under: mine drainage metagenome
Source: RNAcentral
AAGAGCCGUAUAAGUCGAGAGGCUUACGUGCGGUUCUGUGAGAGCCUGGAGGUGAAAUUCCUCCGGGCGACUCGAC